Long non-coding RNA from Actinia tenebrosa (Australian red waratah sea anemone), 483 nucleotides. The record is from RefSeq and is a predicted model, not a curated record. NCBI's taxonomy places the organism in Eukaryota, Metazoa, Cnidaria, Anthozoa, Actiniaria, Actiniidae.
UCGAGAWAUCGAAGAUCCGGACYUGUUUGAGGGAGACAUCAAACUAACUAGAGGACAAAGAGUAGAACUGGAGACGAGAGGAGAAAGAGCAUUCAUCAACUACAGACUAUGGCCUAAUGCAGAGAUUGUCUACGAUGUUGAAGCCUCUAUUUGUUGUAACUUCGUAAUCAUAUAACUUCGUUUCACGAGUCAAGUAAAAUCACCCUCAUCGGAGAUAGUAUACCAUACCCUGUUGUUCCAAUGGAAGUAUCCUAAACCUAAAAAAAGAUCUGGGCAUCGAAUACAUUCCUCCAAUCACGAAGCAGCUCUUAACACGAACUGCUUGAGAUGUUUACGUAUGCCAAGCUAUUUGGACCAAUCAGCACCAAUGAAAAAACGGCUGUUACAAGAACCUCCUCAGGCCAGGAACGAAACCGAGGAGCUCUGGGUGCGAGAAUGGUAUUUUAUUUGAACAUUCUGAUCAAUAAAACACAUUUUGAAGAA